Cornus florida is the source of this 1755-nucleotide long non-coding RNA. RefSeq lists it as uncharacterized. The transcript is spliced from 3 exons. Lineage: Eukaryota; Viridiplantae; Streptophyta; Magnoliopsida; Cornales; Cornaceae. The record is from RefSeq and is a predicted model, not a curated record.
ACCCAGUGUACUUUGUGGUUCAAAUGUGAUGAUAUUUUCUGAUGGAAGGGGUAUGGUAAGCAGUUGUAGGUGUCGGUGGAAAAGUCUUUAAAUGCUGAGUGUGUGUGUUUUGAGUUUGUGUGAGCAAACAGAGGAGAGAAAUUAGAGAACAUGGAGAGUUUGAGGACAGAAAUAGACGAGAGUUGCAUAGGAGGAGCCGAGAGUCUGCAGAGGAGGCCGAGAUUUGAUGAUCCAGUAAGGGAAAUUCUUUUUCAGGGAUACAGGAAGAAAGUGGCGGACGACGCUCCUCCACAGGUCUUGAUGGGGAUGUUGAAGCCUAGUGGAGUUGCAUGAGGGAUGAUCAUGAAAAAAAAGGAAAAGCUGACCACGAAGAAACUAUAAAGAAGCUUAUUUGGUAAUUGUACAAGGGUAGUACUGUCAUUGCAAGAGUAGCAGUACUUGCAGAGUAUGACCAUGGUUGAUAGCUAGGAACAGUUCUAAAGAUGGGAGCUAGUUUGGAAUUAUUAGAUUAUGCUUCCAGAUUGAUAGGCUUAGUAUAUCGGACUUGGAUCGCUGAAAAAGGUCCUGUAUCCCAAAUGUGGAGAUGGCAUCCAAUUCCAAUUUCAGCAUUUGUGGACGUCUCAUAUGGGAUUGGAACUCCGUGCCGUCCGGCUAGGAUCAUAAUGACAGCGAUGCCAUAGGACAUUUUUACAUUUUCUGAAAAGGAUUGAUAAAGACCACCCACCUAACAAAAAUGUUAUAUAUAUAUAUUAAAUAUAUAUAUCUGUGUGUAUGUGUUUGUGUAGUUAUACAUGGAACCAUGGAGGAAAGUGGAGCAUUGACUAGAUAGUAGAAAAGGUUAAGGGAAGUUGAAUGGUAAACUUGAAUAUAUAUAGUUCUUUUUUCUUGGUCAAAUUUAAAAAUGUAUAAAAGAGCAAAGAUAUGCACAGAGAGGAGCCACAAGAGCAACAAAAGCCAAAUACAAAAGCCAAACCAGUAAGCAUAGCUCACAAAAACAAAAUCUCAAUGGAGCUGAGUGGAAUAGUUGCAAAAUACCCUACACCCUCAAUUGACCAACUAUGGCAAAUUACCCCUUUUGGAGAGAGAUGGAAAAUUACAUAAAUACCCAUAGUAAAAAAUAGAUAUUUUAAAAUGUACAGAGCCUAAAUUCUGCUGGUAUAUUAUUGUGUGCUAUACAGGAUUUUGAGGGUCUAGUAUUGAAGACCCAAUUGGGCGAGGACAAAAAAGAAGCAGCCUACUACUCCAAGCUGGUGAGGCAGAAAACUGUUUUCUCAGGGCCGGGAAACCACCAACAGAUAGUUGAAAUGGACAAUAAUCGACGAUAAUAGCAAUGGAUGGGUGGUGGUGGAAAUGGGUCUGACCCAUUUGUUUAAUCAGCUUCGCCCCAAAUUGCAAUUGCCUUGGAACUCUCAUGAAUAGGAUGAUUAAGAGAUGCGCUGGGAAGGGAUAGCACAAAGACUGUUUUCAGCUGCUAUUAGCUUUCUGGGAUCAUUGCUUCAAUAGUGAGUUUUUUUUAGAAAGUUAAGCAAACACAUGCCUCCAGGGAGUCUCGAAUACCCGACCUCCCAUUUAGGAAAGAGGACUUGUUGUUGGGUUUUAAUUAAAUUAAUCUAUGUAGAAAUCAAGAAUACUUAAUUAAAGACUAAUUUAGAUAUAUUGAUGACUAAAUCGCACAUAUACCUUUAGAAUAUCCAUGUAAUCCUCUCUGAAUUCCUUCAAAACAUUAGAACGCUUUACCUCCUUCUGAGAGUUGUC